ACAGCCAAGGGAACGGGCU
Molecule: non-coding RNA, 19 nt
Filed under: Arabidopsis thaliana (thale cress)
Lineage: Eukaryota; Viridiplantae; Streptophyta; Magnoliopsida; Brassicales; Brassicaceae
Also listed under: 2 other names
Source: RNAcentral